RNAcentral lists this ribosomal RNA (102 nucleotides) under Thermoflexales bacterium. Lineage: Bacteria; Bacillati; Chloroflexota; Thermoflexia; Thermoflexales. The record is from RNAcentral.
UGCGGCGGGGGUACACCCGGUCCCUUCCCGAACCCGGCAGUUAAGCCCGCCAGCGCCGAUGGUACUUGCACGGAGACGUGCUGGGAGCGUAGGUCAUCGCCA